This 376-nucleotide long non-coding RNA is filed under the name Pan troglodytes (chimpanzee). Its description in RNAcentral is "long non-coding RNA NONPTRT001173". Lineage: Eukaryota; Metazoa; Chordata; Mammalia; Primates; Hominidae. The record is from RNAcentral.
AGAAGGCACAAAUGUUUAAAUGUUAUGCCUGUGAUGUUAGGAAGAUAUUCUGGUAGAGGCAGAUUUUAAGACUGAGCUGAGUCUUAAAGGUAGGAGUUAGCCAGGCAAAGAAAGGGGAGAAGGCAUUGUAGGCACAAGAGAAAGAAUGGAUAAAUGCUCAGCUGUGCAAAAUAGCCCCUACAAGCAGCUCAGUUGUAGCAAUUCAGAGUGUGAAGUAUGCAGCAGCAGAAAUGAGUCUAGAACUGUAGGUACAUUUCAGAAGGUCCAGUGUGUCACACUAAUCACUCUGAGCUUUAUCCUAUAGGUCUGUGUUCCUGAAGCUUCAGUUAUUUGCCUAUCAUUUUCAUGGUUUUGUCAAACUUAUGUUCCACCUGAA